RNAcentral lists this ribosomal RNA (274 nucleotides) under uncultured bacterium. RNAcentral's name for it is "partial 16S ribosomal RNA". It matches the Rfam family "Bacterial small subunit ribosomal RNA", at positions 523 to 796 of the family's 1533-position model. The record is from RNAcentral.
AUACGGAGGGAGCGAGCGUUAAUCGGAAUUACUGGGCGUAAAGCGCGCGUAGGCGGUUUGGUCAGUCGGAUGUGAAAGCCCUGGGCUCAACCCGGGAAUGGCAUUCGAUACUGCCUGACUAGAGUAUGGUAGAGGGAAGUGGAAUUUCCGGUGUAGCGGUGAAAUGCGUAGAUAUCGGAAGGAACACCAGUGGCGAAGGCGACUUUCUGGGCCAAUACUGACGCUAAGGUGCGAAAGCGUGGGGAGCAAACAGGAUUAGAAACCCUAGUAGUCC